CUACUGAAUCAUUCAACAGUCUGUCUGUUUGCUCUCUAGCCAAAGAAAAUAACCUAUAAAACAAGGACUUAGGAAUCAACUGCAAACGGGGUUUCCACCUAGUUUGUAACAUCUCCACCUGCCUUGUAUCUUCCUGCAGACACAAUGGGAAAUGGGAGCAAUUGCUGGUUAUGUGUGCGUGGCACUUCUGGGUGCUGGGCUCCACUGCUUUUGCCUUUCUUCCAGCAGUGUAACUCAAGGUGACUACAGGUCAGCUUGCAGCAGCUGCUACCAUCUUAUUGAGCUUCGCCAUCCCAUGGGAGGAGGACCAGAGCCAGAGCGUUCCCUGCGCUUGCCAGGUCUUUAAGUGAAGCUUGGAAGAUCUACAAUGUGAAGCUCAGAGGAUCAUCUUCAGAAUGUUAUUCCUUUACUUAUAAACCUCAAACAAUGGCAAGUGAGGCAUAUUCUUAAAACUUAUGGGAAUAUCCCCCAAAAGUGAAGUUUCUUAGUGAAUAUAUAGCUUUUCUGAUGGCAAUCUAAUCACCUGAUAAGCAAAGUGUUUUAAAUACCACAAUCUGACCAAUACGUAUUAGCUGCAUGGAUACAAUGUAUUCCUGUCUGAUAUCUAGCAUUUUUAUCUGGUAUCUAUUAUUGCACAACCUUGCAAAUCUUGCUGGUUAGGAAACUGAGACACAGGGAAGAAACAUUUGUCAAGGGAUGCAUGGAGAGUUGUUGACUGUAGGCACACACAAGGCCAACACUGCCACAUUUUCACAAGCCUUCUUUGCAAAGCUAAGCCUUGUCUGUGACCCUUUGUUCUUUAUUUCACCUGGAGUCAUACCACAAUGCCACACAGCGUAAGCAGCUUUUAAAGAGGACCAAGUAUCUGUGAGGACUCACAGCAUUGUAUCUGUUCGUGAUACUCAGAUGUGCAUCAGAACGUAGCAAACCAGGCACAACACAACUGGAAGGUUAAAGCUAAAACCACUUCAAGGUUAAGGCAACACUCAACUCUGCAAAUACGUAGCAGGCAAUUUGCAAAGAUAGCCUUGCUAAUGAGAAAUCAGUUCUUCCUGCAUUGUGUAUUUCUAUAUUGUUCUAAUAUUUCCAGAGAGCACAGCAAUGAAAAACAUGUCUCCUGACAUUCAGUAGAGCCAUGGCUUAAGGUGAUGCCAGAAAUUGGCCUGUCAUUGUUCUGAUGGAUUUCAUUACAUCCUGGUGUGACACGACACAAAGACGCAUUGCACAUCUGCCUCAAAGUCCAACAUUUUGAAGCAUUUUUUUAGCCUAAAGAAACACAUGUGCAGUUUACCCAUGUUCAGGAGCUCAGCAUAACACCAAAGAGCUGCCUCUGUUGCUUUCCAGGC
RNAcentral lists this long non-coding RNA (1346 nucleotides) under Coturnix japonica (Japanese quail). RNAcentral describes it as "lncRNA (ENSCJPG00005013375.1)". Lineage: Eukaryota; Metazoa; Chordata; Aves; Galliformes; Phasianidae. The record is from RNAcentral.